This 849-nucleotide long non-coding RNA is filed under the name Macaca mulatta (Rhesus monkey). RNAcentral describes it as "lncRNA (ENSMMUG00000053008.1)". The record is from RNAcentral. Lineage: Eukaryota; Metazoa; Chordata; Mammalia; Primates; Cercopithecidae.
GUCUCUCUCUCUAUCCUACAGGUCCAAGAAACUAACUUGGGAAAGAAGAGGGGAAGUUCUUAUUUUCACAUGCUGAAUAAAUUACCAGAAAUAGAACUUGGCUCAGAACCUCACAUAUCUUCAGACCAAGAACAACUAUGCUGGAGAAGCUGUAUUUCCUUGACCAUCACUGAGGAGGCUCAUCUGCACCUGGAAUGAAUUAAGAUAUCAAUGUCCUAUUUUGACUGCAUGUUGUUCAGAAAUGAGACUUUGGGAAGUCUUAGCAGAGGCCAUCAAGGAACUGAGGAACUGAGGCCCUUUGCUAACAGCCAUGAGGGCACGAUCAUGGAAGUAGAUCUCCCGCCCCUGUCAAGCCUUCAGAUAACUGCAGCCCCAGCUGACUGCUCAACUGCAACCUCGUGAGAAACCCUCAGCUGCAGGACUGCCGAGCUUCGAGGGAGCUGAGAGGAAUGCUGUAUUCAGGCCCUCUUACCCGACUUGACCUUGAGACCAAUGGGUGUGUUGGAAAGAGGCUGGCAAGGUCUGAGGGUACAGCCUGUGGCGGAGGUGGGGCCAGGCAGGCCCAGCCCCUCAAGCCAGGCCGUGGGCCCCAGGGCCCUGCCGGAUGGCCGCUCUCUGGGAGCUGCAUGCAGAGGUGCCUGGUACCCCCAACCGCGCCCCACGGGGCACCUGACCUCCAGAGGAAGGAAAUGAGUCUGGAGAUGCCGUAGACGAAAGAGUUGCCGCUUCCUCCGCCUGGGAUCACUCACAGAUGCCUCAGGGAGGCGGCCGGCCCUGAGUCACGCUGAGCGCUGAGCCGGCUGUGACUCAGCGGGACCGCGGUCCCUUGGCUGCGCCUGGGUCGAUUUG